GACGAACGCUGGCGGCGUGCUUAACACAUGCAAGUCGAACGGUAAGGCCCUCCGGGGUACACGAGUGGCGAACGGGUGAGUAACACGUGGGUGAUCUGCCCUGCACUUCGGGAUAAGCCGGGGAAACUGGGUCUAAUACCGGAGAGGACCACUGCCUGCAUGGGUGGUGGUGGAAAGCUUUUGCGGUGUGGGAUGGGCCCGCGGCCUAUCAGCUUGUUGGUUGGGUGGUGGCCUACCAAGGCGACGACGGGUAGCCGGACGGAGAGGGUGGCCGGCCAAACUGGGACUGGGAUACGGCCCAGACUCCUACGGGAGGCAGCAGUGGGGAAUAUUGCACAAUGGGCGCAAGCCUGAUGCAGCGACGCCGCGUGAGGGAUGACGGCCUUCGGGUUGUAAACCUCUUUCAGCACCGACGAAGCGCAAGUGACGGUAGGUGCAGAAGAAGGACCGGCCAACUACGUGCCAGCCGCCGCCGUAA
This 478-nucleotide ribosomal RNA is filed under the name uncultured bacterium. RNAcentral's name for it is "partial 16S ribosomal RNA". It matches the Rfam family "Bacterial small subunit ribosomal RNA", at positions 28 to 523 of the family's 1533-position model. The record is from RNAcentral.